AAGUCGUAACAAGGUAACCGUAGGUGAACCUGCGGUUGGAUCAUUAAUAAAUGAUUGGUUCUAGGUUCGAGGGUCUUUGUGAUUCUCGCCUAGAGCUAUAAACCUCUGUGCACUGUAUUGUCUUUGGGUUUGAGUUCUGUUCUGCAGAGCUUGGGCCCGACUGUUUAAAAACCCCUUUCAAUUGACUGACCUUUCUAAGAGAAUUUAGAGAUAACUUUUAACAACGGAUCUCUUGGCUCUC
Molecule: unclassified non-coding RNA, 241 nt
Filed under: fungal sp.
Lineage: Eukaryota; Fungi
Also listed under: 1 other name
Description: partial internal transcribed spacer region
Rfam family: Eukaryotic small subunit ribosomal RNA (bases 1-46)
Source: RNAcentral